GCCGAUAUAGCUCAGUGGUAGAGCAGCGCUUUUGUAAAGCGAAGGUCGUCGGUCCAAAUCCGACUAUCGGCUCCA
This 75-nucleotide transfer RNA is filed under the name bacterium. RNAcentral describes it as "tRNA-Thr". It matches the Rfam family "tRNA". From Rfam's summary of the family: Transfer RNA (tRNA) molecules are approximately 80 nucleotides in length. Their secondary structure includes four short double-helical elements and three loops (D, anti-codon, and T loops). The record is from RNAcentral. RNAcentral also lists the same sequence under 1 other name.